UAUAAAAUUACGAAAACAGUUUAAAUAUAUUAUAUUUCUACCAGUCGUAUGCCAACGACCAUACCACGUUGAAUACACCAGUUCUCGUCCGAUCACUGAAGUUAAGCAACGUCGGGCGUAGUUAGUACUUGGGUGGGUGACCGCUUGGGAACACUACGUGCCGUUGGCUCCUUUUUUUAUUUCUCGAUUAUUACUUUAUUUUAAAUAUAUUAAAACUUAAAAUAUUUAGUAUUUAAUACGAUUUUUUAACGUCUAAAUUAGAUUUCCAUUUUUAUAGACAAAAGUACCGCA
Cinara cedri is the source of this 291-nucleotide non-coding RNA. The record is from the annotation of a GenBank genome assembly. Lineage: Eukaryota; Metazoa; Arthropoda; Insecta; Hemiptera; Aphididae.